CAGCACAACACUGAGAUGAAGGCGAAGUCACCAUGAAAAGUUAAACGUUUACCGUUAAGGUAAGCUCUGGUCUUCACAUAAGUUAGUCAUUAUGACUAAGCUAUCAUUAUGGUAAAUUUUUUUCAACUGUAAGUUAGUUAUUUAAACUAAACUCAUAAUGAAAUGAGUCUUAACUGUUUUAUUAAAUGGAGCUGAAAAUUAAAUGCAGUUUAAUUAUUUUAAGCUAACGUUAAUAUUAACAAAAUACAUAUUAAUUGUCUAUUUCUCAAUAAUGUUAAUGAGCUUGAUUUAUAGUGUGUCAUUAAUUGUACAUUUAAUUUUUGGUGUUCAGGUGUACCUGAGGUGAGUGUAUGUUCUGAGUACACAGAUAUAAGCCAAAGUCAUUAUCACUAUAUAUAUAUAUAUAUAUCCAUCCUAUUCUAAGAGAAAUUAAUGGGGUCAGGGAAUGAUUUGUGUACAAAUGUAUUUUAACCCCAAACAGAUUGGUAUCGUUGUACCAUAGAUUUAGAUUAAUUAAUGUUAAGUCUUAUUUUACUCUUAUUAUAUUUAUCUGUUUUUCAGCUACAGUAAUUGAUGUUGAAAAACUGAUGCUACCAAUCACUCCUCACUUGAUUAUUCAAGCAGUUCCUAAGAUAAAAAAAAAAUCUGGUGUUAAAACAGCCACGGCUAUGCUAUUUGCCUACCAAGUGCUGACCCAGAUAGUGAUGGACCUGGAAUGCGACACCAGUUACUCUCAAGACAAGAACCGAAUAAAGCACAGAUGUGGAGGGAUUUGCAGCCAAACUAACUGGAGGGAAGGAACCUUUAGUGUGGGUGAACAUACUACCUGGAUGUCCAACAAAGGCUGCACAAGCGCUCAUUUGAUAGCACAUAUUCUGUCCUGUCUACAUCUCUGAUGACCUGGAAGUGCUUCGACAUCAGAUCAUCAUUAUGCUGCUGCCCUUUUUCACUGUCCCUUUCCACAUCAUUUGGCCUUCAUCAUUUCCUGUCUUGUAGCAGUAUUUUCACCUGUUUUUAAAAUUGUAAUAAUUUUUGAUGCAUUAAUUGUUGACUGGUUUUAAUGAUCAAUUGUUUAUUAGUGUUCUGUUGCUCUGUUAUAUUGAAUAAUUGCUACUGUUUUAGCAUGGUUUACACAAUAAACCUUUAUUGUGAAGUUAAA
This is a non-coding RNA of Danio rerio (zebrafish), 1159 nucleotides long. The record is from Ensembl. NCBI's taxonomy places the organism in Eukaryota, Metazoa, Chordata, Actinopteri, Cypriniformes, Danionidae.